This 2354-nucleotide ribosomal RNA is filed under the name Escherichia coli. Its description in RNAcentral is "partial 23S ribosomal RNA". It matches the Rfam family "Bacterial large subunit ribosomal RNA", at positions 592 to 2925 of the family's 2925-position model. The record is from RNAcentral. Lineage: Bacteria; Pseudomonadati; Pseudomonadota; Gammaproteobacteria; Enterobacterales; Enterobacteriaceae.
GGUGACUGCGUACCUUUUGUAUAAUGGGUCAGCGACUUAUAUUCUGUAGCAAGGUUAACCGAAUAGGGGAGCCGAAGGGAAACCGAGUCUUAACUGGGCGUUAAGUUGCAGGGUAUAGACCCGAAACCCGGUGAUCUAGCCAUGGGCAGGUUGAAGGUUGGGUAACACUAACUGGAGGACCGAACCGACUAAUGUUGAAAAAUUAGCGGAUGACUUGUGGCUGGGGGUGAAAGGCCAAUCAAACCGGGAGAUAGCUGGUUCUCCCCGAAAGCUAUUUAGGUAGCGCCUCGUGAAUUCAUCUCCGGGGGUAGAGCACUGUUUCGGCAAGGGGGUCAUCCCGACUUACCAACCCGAUGCAAACUGCGAAUACCGGAGAAUGUUAUCACGGGAGACACACGGCGGGUGCUAACGUCCGUCGUGAAGAGGGAAACAACCCAGACCGCCAGCUAAGGUCCCAAAGUCAUGGUUAAGUGGGAAACGAUGUGGGAAGGCCCAGACAGCCAGGAUGUUGGCUUAGAAGCAGCCAUCAUUUAAAGAAAGCGUAAUAGCUCACUGGUCGAGUCGGCCUGCGCGGAAGAUGUAACGGGGCUAAACCAUGCACCGAAGCUGCGGCAGCGACACUAUGUGUUGUUGGGUAGGGGAGCGUUCUGUAAGCCUGUGAAGGUGGCCUGUGAGGGUUGCUGGAGGUAUCAGAAGUGCGAAUGCUGACAUAAGUAACGAUAAAGCGGGUGAAAAGCCCGCUCGCCGGAAGACCAAGGGUUCCUGUCCAACGUUAAUCGGGGCAGGGUGAGUCGACCCCUAAGGCGAGGCCGAAAGGCGUAGUCGAUGGGAAACAGGUUAAUAUUCCUGUACUUGGUGUUACUGCGAAGGGGGGACGGAGAAGGCUAUGUUGGCCGGGCGACGGUUGUCCCGGUUUAAGCGUGUAGGCUGGUUUUCCAGGCAAAUCCGGAAAACCAAGGCUGAGGCGUGAUGACGAGGCACUACGGUGCUGAAGCGACAAAUGCCCUGCUUCCAGGAAAAGCCUCUAAGCAUCAGGUAACAUCAAAUCGUACCCCAAACCGACACAGGUGGUCAGGUAGAGAAUACCAAGGCGCUUGAGAGAACUCGGGUGAAGGAACUAGGCAAAAUGGUGCCGUAACUUCGGGAGAAGGCACGCUGAUAUGUAGGUGAAGCGACUUGCUCGUGGAGCUGAAAUCAGUCGAAGAUACCAGCUGGCUGCAACUGUUUAUUAAAAACACAGCACUGUGCAAACACGAAAGUGGACGUAUACGGUGUGACGCCUGCCCGGUGCCGGAAGGUUAAUUGAUGGGGUUAGCGGCAACGCGAAGCUCUUGAUCGAAGCCCCGGUAAACGGCGGCCGUAACUAUAACGGUCCUAAGGUAGCGAAAUUCCUUGUCGGGUAAGUUCCGACCUGCACGAAUGGCGUAAUGAUGGCCAGGCUGUCUCCACCCGAGACUCAGUGAAAUUGAACUCGCUGUGAAGAUGCAGUGUACCCGCGGCAAGACGGAAAGACCCCGUGAACCUUUACUAUAGCUUGACACUGAACAUUGAGCCUUGAUGUGUAGGAUAGGUGGGAGGCUUUGAAGUGUGGACGCCAGUCUGCAUGGAGCCGACCUUGAAAUACCACCCUUUAAUGUUUGAUGUUCUAACGUUGGCCCGUAAUCCGGGUUGCGGACAGUGUCUGGUGGGUAGUUUGACUGGGGCGGUCUCCUCCUAAAGAGUAACGGAGGAGCACGAAGGUUGGCUAAUCCUGGUCGGACAUCAGGAGGUUAGUGCAAUGGCAUAAGCCAGCUUGACUGCGAGCGUGACGGCGCGAGCAGGUGCGAAAGCAGGUCAUAGUGAUCCGGUGGUUCUGAAUGGAAGGGCCAUCGCUCAACGGAUAAAAGGUACUCCGGGGAUAACAGGCUGAUACCGCCCAAGAGUUCAUAUCGACGGCGGUGUUUGGCACCUCGAUGUCGGCUCAUCACAUCCUGGGGCUGAAGUAGGUCCCAAGGGUAUGGCUGUUCGCCAUUUAAAGUGGUACGCGAGCUGGGUUUAGAACGUCGUGAGACAGUUCGGUCCCUAUCUGCCGUGGGCGCUGGAGAACUGAGGGGGGCUGCUCCUAGUACGAGAGGACCGGAGUGGACGCAUCACUGGUGUUCGGGUUGUCAUGCCAAUGGCACUGCCCGGUAGCUAAAUGCGGAAGAGAUAAGUGCUGAAAGCAUCUAAGCACGAAACUUGCCCCGAGAUGAGUUCUCCCUGACUCCUUGAGAGUCCUGAAGGAACGUUGAAGACGACGACGUUGAUAGGCCGGGUGUGUAAGCGCAGCGAUGCGUUGAGCUAACCGGUACUAAUGAACCGUGAGGCUUAACCUU